Molecule: ribosomal RNA, 421 nt
Filed under: uncultured microorganism
Description: bacterial SSU rRNA
Rfam family: Bacterial small subunit ribosomal RNA
Source: RNAcentral
GAGUUUGAUCGUGGCUCAGAUUGAACGCUGGCGGCAUGCCUUACACAUGCAAGUCGAACGGCAGCAUGAUCUAGCUUGCUAGAUUGAUGGCGAGUGGCGAACGGGUGAGUAAUACAUCGGAACGUGCCCUGUAGUGGGGGAUAACUAGUCGAAAGAUUAGCUAAUACCGCAUACGACCUGAGGGUGAAAGUGGGGGACCGCAAGGCCUCAUGCUAUAGGAGCGGCCGAUGUCUGAUUAGCUAGUUGGUGGGGUAAAGGCCCACCAAGGCGACGAUCAGUAGCUGGUCUGAGAGGACGAUCAGCCACACUGGGACUGAGACACGGCCCAGACUCCUACGGGAGGCAGCAGUGGGGAAUUUUGGACAAUGGGCGAAAGCCUGAUCCAGCAAUGCCGCGUGUGUGAAGAAGGCCUCGGUUGUAA